UCUUACGCAUAGCUAUUUUAUUACUCUGAUUGUUUAGAACAAAGAAACAUCGCUAUCAAUAGCUUCCAUCAACCAUGGAGUUACAAAUUCACAUACAUCGGAUACAAUUCCAUCAAAUUUACAUACAUGAAUCAAAAGAGAAUGAAAACAGAGGUGCAACAUCUAAAAUCACUAGUGCAUCAACUAAAUAUUCACAGCGUGAGACCUCUUUUCAUAAUGUUUGGUUACAGCUUAAGUUGCAAGCUUCUCUUCAAGGUUACCCUGCAGUGGACAUAAAUGAACUUGUACAAAAGUGCAAGUGUCUCGCAUAAAAAAAGGUGCAAGUGUCAACACUUUGAUACAAAAAGGUGACAACAAACAGGAACAAUAUCUAUAAGAUAUAAUAAGCAUAAUCGAUCUGAUAUCUCAGUUUCUCGCAAUAACAGUGGCAUAUAUACACAACUUGUUUUUGUCACAGCAAAGUUACCCAAUUUUACAGCUAUAUGGAAAAAAUAAUGGAGUAAUUUGUGAUAGAAUCAUAUCUCAGAUUUAUACAAACCAUGCAACUGAAAAAAUCCAUUCAAAUGACAACCUAACCACAUGCUUCUGGAUUAGGUAGAAAUAUUUAUCACCUAACAGUCUGGAUUGAUGAGAUAUUAGAGGCUUCUUGCAAGUCAGGCUCAAAUCACAGUACCAAUGUCAAUACUCUUAAGUGCAAGUGCUCAAUGAUGCAUCACCACAAAAUUGUAUAGUAAGAAAAUAACAAGGAGUUAAGUCUAACCAUUUCAGAUGUUUGAGAAAAAUGGGCAGAGUCAUCAUCAUCUCCAUAACAGUAAAAACCAAAGGAUUAUGCAAUUAUUCAAUAAUGUAACAGCAGGGAACAGUACCUCUUUAUUCAGAAGAAUAAGUAGAAUUUCUUGCCUUUAUUGAUAACCUUAACGUCCUGCUGCAGCCUCCUUGUUGUGCUGAUCCUAUUCCGUGUAAUUUCCAUGCAACGGAUCAUUGGUCCCUAAAUCAUAACAUAAUGAAAGAGAAUGAAACCAAAAGGAUCAUUGGUGAGACAAUAAUACAUUUUUACAGUACUGCAUGGUGAGACAAUAAAGGGUCCCAAAGAAAUAGAAAGGGGUAGUUUGCAGAUUAAACCAAUAUAGCAGCUACUGGCUCAAUAAUGUUGAUCUGAGGAUGUUGGGCACACUGAACACAGCACGGUAUGUUUUAAUAUACACAAGGCAACUUGAUUUGAUAAUUAUUAAUGAUACAAGUUUGGAGUCCAGGGUGAAAGCAAAAGUAAAAAUACCUUGAUUAGAACAAAAGCUCUUGCAUCUCUCGUAGAUCUCGAAUCUUGAAUUUUGCUCCUACUGAAGAUGGAUUGCAAACUAAAAAAAUCAGACCUCAAAUAGGUGUUGACCAAUAUUUAAUUUAUAGGUUGAUGUGCAUACAACAACAAAAUAUGGAAGGGAAUAGUACCACUUCAUUUGGAAGAAUAUUAUUCAAUUUCUUACAUUGAGUGAUAACGUGUGAUGUUUGUUCAAUUCUUAUUAAAUCAAAAAAUAAUGAAAGAGAUUAAAUCAAAGGGUAUGGACAAACAAAU
Molecule: long non-coding RNA, 1570 nt
Filed under: Triticum aestivum (bread wheat)
Lineage: Eukaryota; Viridiplantae; Streptophyta; Magnoliopsida; Poales; Poaceae
Description: long non-coding RNA (TAES_LNC028149)
Source: RNAcentral